This 209-nucleotide unclassified non-coding RNA is filed under the name Hevea brasiliensis (rubber tree). The record is from RNAcentral. Lineage: Eukaryota; Viridiplantae; Streptophyta; Magnoliopsida; Malpighiales; Euphorbiaceae.
UCUUAAGCCCUGAUUGGUAGCAUGAUUUAAAAGUUUAUGGAGUCCAAAGCCCAAAAUGUUCUUGGGAUAGGCAGCAAAAUUCUUUGUUUUCCCUGAAGCUGCGGCAAUGAAAAUGUGAAUUAACUGCCUGGAUUCUGAAUGGGCCCUUUGGUCUGUUGAGGUUGCAGCCAGUUUUUCUCAUCGACUCUGUGGCCAUUUUGUUGUUGUUG